AUGAUGAACAAAGAUCUGGAGAAGGCUUCGACCAUCAACGUUUCAGCCCUUACUUGUAUAGAUCUCGCCAGCCCUGAUCUUCAUCGAUCAGCUGUUUUGCUCAAGCAGGCAUGCUUGGAGUGCGGAUUUUUCUAUGUCAUAAAUCAUGGUUUAAGUGAGGAGUUAAAGGAUGAUGCUUUUGAGCAAGAAAUUCUUUGCUCUUCCUUUGGAAGAGAAGAUGAAAGUCUUGAGGAAUAAAAAGAACCGAGGAUAUUCUCCUGUCCUUGAUCAAAUCUUAGAUCCUCAGAAUCAAGUCCACGGAGACUACAAAGAGUGUUUUUUCAUUGGAAUCGAUGGUCCCAAAGAUGAUCCUAAUGGGGAUAAGCCAUUUUAUA
Molecule: long non-coding RNA, 374 nt
Organism: Brassica oleracea var. oleracea
Lineage: Eukaryota; Viridiplantae; Streptophyta; Magnoliopsida; Brassicales; Brassicaceae
Exons: 3
Source: RefSeq, a predicted model, not a curated record